This 275-nucleotide microRNA precursor is filed under the name Oryza nivara. Its description in RNAcentral is "MIR821 microRNA precursor family". It matches the Rfam family "MIR821 microRNA precursor family". Lineage: Eukaryota; Viridiplantae; Streptophyta; Magnoliopsida; Poales; Poaceae. The record is from Rfam by way of RNAcentral.
GAUAUCAAUUGAAAAAGUCAUCAACAACAAAGUUGAAUAACUCGUCAAGAUCUAAAACUUUUAUUUUGAUCAUUUCUUCAUACGACAAAGUGAUAGUAACAUUGUUCACAAAAUUGACAUAUCUCUUAUCUGGUUUUAUAAACUAUAACACAUAUAUGUAAAUUUUGUGAAUAAUAUUACUAACAUUUCGUCGGAUGAAGAAAUAACAAAAAUAAAAGUUUUAGAUCUUGAUGAGUUAUUCAACUUUGUUGUUGAUGACUUUUUCAAUUGAAAUC